RNAcentral lists this ribosomal RNA (782 nucleotides) under Ascocotyle sp. MC_9. RNAcentral describes it as "partial large subunit ribosomal RNA". It matches the Rfam family "Eukaryotic large subunit ribosomal RNA", at positions 475 to 885 of the family's 3401-position model. Lineage: Eukaryota; Metazoa; Platyhelminthes; Trematoda; Opisthorchiida; Heterophyidae. The record is from RNAcentral.
UGGAGUCUGCGUAGCAGCAGGUCCUCACCUUUUGGUGUGGAUGCGCGAUGCACUUAUCAAGUGUUGUGCGCUCCUUGUUCAUCCGGGCCAGCUUGCCAGUGCACUUUCGCAGAGUGGUCACCACGACCGGCAUGGCUGUCUGGCUGUUGCGGUUAAACCGUCCUUGCAUCUUCCAUGUGAUUAUGCCUGGGCGGGAUGGCAGGUAGCUCGUUGGCUUGCCUACGGUUUUCCGUCGGCGUUAGGUCUUCGAGUGUAAUCAGCUGACCGCAUCGGUUCUGUGCAGUAUGUCGGAGAUGGCGGCUUUUGGUGUGUGCGGGCGUGCCAGUCGGUUGGCGUUUUCGGGUUUGGUUGUCAUGUUGCUUGUGUGUGCAAGCCUGACGGCAGCUCGAACUCGUUCGAUCGGCGGUUGCGUUCGUUUCACUAUAUCCAGGGCCAAUAGUCUGUGGUGUUGCGGUAGACUUUCCACCUGACCCGUCUUGAAACACGGACCAAGGAGAGUAACAUGUGCGCGAGUCAUUGGGCGUAACGAAACCCAAAGGCGAAGUGAAAGUGAAUGUCUGGCUUGUCCGGACUGAGGUGAGAUCCUGUCGUUUCUCACGCGUGGUAUCGCCAAGCAUCGAGCGACAGGCGCAUCACCGGCCCGUCCCAUGGUGUAGUGACAUUCUUCGGAUUGUUCAUCACCGGGGCGGAGCAUGAGCGCACAUGUUGAGACCCGAAAGAUGGUGAACUAUGCUUGCGCAGGUUGAAGCCAGAGGAAACUCUGGUGGAGGACCGCAGCGAUU